This 252-nucleotide ribosomal RNA is filed under the name uncultured bacterium. Its description in RNAcentral is "partial 16S ribosomal RNA". It matches the Rfam family "Bacterial small subunit ribosomal RNA", at positions 524 to 776 of the family's 1533-position model. The record is from RNAcentral.
UACGUAGGGGGCAAGCGUUGUCCGGAAUUAUUGGGCGUAAAGCGCGUGUAGGCGGCCAGAUAAGUCCGCUGUGAAAUCUCGAGGCUCAACUUCGAGCUGUCGGUGGAAACUGUCUGGCUAGAGUCCGGAAGAGGAGAAUGGAAUUCCUGGUGUAGCGGUGAAAUGCGCAGAUAUCAGGAAGAACACCCGUGGCGAGGCGGUUCUCUGGGACGGUACUGACGCUGAGACGCGAAAGCGUGGGGAGCGAACAGG